GUUGAGCUUGACUCUAGUCCGA
Molecule: small nuclear RNA, 22 nt
Filed under: Arabidopsis thaliana (thale cress)
Lineage: Eukaryota; Viridiplantae; Streptophyta; Magnoliopsida; Brassicales; Brassicaceae
Description: snRNA_05420
Source: RNAcentral